RNAcentral lists this ribosomal RNA (164 nucleotides) under uncultured bacterium. RNAcentral describes it as "partial 16S ribosomal RNA". It matches the Rfam family "Bacterial small subunit ribosomal RNA", at positions 355 to 509 of the family's 1533-position model. The record is from RNAcentral.
UAGGGAAGUUUUCGUUCAAUGGGCGCAAGCCUGAACGAGCAAUGCCGCGUGAGUGAGGAAGGUCUUCGGACUGUAAAGCUCUGUUGCCGGGGAAAAAGGGGAAAUGCAGGAAAUGGCAUUUCAUGGAUGGUACCCGGCCAGAAAGCCACGGCUAACUACGUGCC